UCUCCGUAGGUGAACCUGCGGAGGGAUCAUUAACACGCUCCAAACCAAUCUAUUAACCCAACUGCGAACUUCGUAUCCGCCUCACUGUCUCGCAAGGCGAGGUGUGGCUGAAGCCAGGAUGAAGGUGAGAGGCCGCCAGCUUGGUUGUCAAUGACAGCCAGCCAGCAGCAGCUCAUACGGCUUCAGUCUCGAUGGCUGCCCCCAUCAAAAUGGGAGCGGCCUGCCUCGCAGUGUGAGACGAGGCCAACCAUAUAUGCGGUCAGCGCGUGUCAUCGACGCUGCUCGUCAUAUCCACACGCCCGUUCUCGUGGUUGCGCGUUGUGCACCGCACAGCAUGCGCCCGAGAAUGACUGUCUAUAAACUGUUGAUGUUGGGGCUUGUGGCUGCUUGUCAGCCCUGGCCUCUGUCUCAGCUCUCGUGUACCGAGCGGCUGACGACUAUUUACGAAUAAACAACAACUCUUAGCAAUGGAUAUCUUGGUUCUC
RNAcentral lists this unclassified non-coding RNA (485 nucleotides) under plant metagenome. RNAcentral's name for it is "partial contains small subunit ribosomal RNA, internal transcribed spacer 1, and 5.8S ribosomal RNA". The record is from RNAcentral.